CCUCCCCCUCAGACCCUAGCUCGCGGCGACGGCGCGAGGUUGAAGACGGGCACCCGUGCGCUGCUAUCGUUGGCGGCGCACGAGCGCCCAAUAAGAAAAUUGGCCACCACGGGUUCCCACCCCUAUCCAUCGACGCCACGACAUCACAGAACAGCUGCUUCUCGUCGGCGCCGUGAGGCCUUCCCGUCCAAGGCAACACCGGACCAUCUAUGCUUGGUCAGCUGAGGCUAAUGAAGAAGCUGGCAUGCUGGAGUACAUAUAUGAGGCAGCAUAGCAGAGGCUUGACGGAGGCCUACAGUCUAAGACAAAUGCUAGAUUACAAUUCUUAUCUGUUGUCGGAAUGUUGUAAUUAAUUUUUAGUUCAUGUGAACAUGGCAAAUCUCUUUAUCUGAAUUCUAGAAUGAUUCAGUGUAUGAUUUUCUUAAUGGUUGAACUUUUCUGUGUCACCUUGCUGAUACACACACAUA
Molecule: long non-coding RNA, 467 nt
Organism: Panicum virgatum (switchgrass)
Lineage: Eukaryota; Viridiplantae; Streptophyta; Magnoliopsida; Poales; Poaceae
Exons: 2
Source: RefSeq, a predicted model, not a curated record